This 125-nucleotide ribosomal RNA is filed under the name Schmidingerella taraikaensis. Its description in RNAcentral is "partial Bacterial large subunit ribosomal RNA". It matches the Rfam family "Bacterial large subunit ribosomal RNA", at positions 1 to 125 of the family's 2925-position model. The record is from RNAcentral. Lineage: Eukaryota; Ciliophora; Spirotrichea; Tintinnida; Rhabdonellidae.
GUCAAGCGAAUAAGCGCAUACGGUGGAUGCCUAGGCGGUAAGAGGCGAUGAAGGACGUAGUAGUCUGCGAUAAGCUUCGGGGAGUCGACAAACAGACUUUGAUCCGGAGAUUUCCGAAUGGGGAA